GGGAGGCAGGACCGGGGAAUAUUGGCAAUGGCCGCAAGCCGGAGGCAGCGACGCCGCGUGGGGGAUGACGGUCUUGGGGAGGUUGACCUCUCUAAGCUUGGACCAAGCGCAAGUGACGGUACCUGCAGAAGAAGCACCGGCCAACUACGUGCCAGCAGCCUCGGGAAUACGUAGGGUGCGAGCGUUGCCCGGAAUUACUGGGCGUAAAGAGCUCGUAGGUGGUUUGUCGCGUUGUUCGUGAAAACCGGGGGCUUAACCCUCGGCGUGCGGGCGAUACGGGCAGACUAGACCACUGCAGGGGAGACUGGAAUU
RNAcentral lists this ribosomal RNA (312 nucleotides) under uncultured bacterium. RNAcentral's name for it is "bacterial SSU rRNA". It matches the Rfam family "Bacterial small subunit ribosomal RNA", at positions 343 to 668 of the family's 1533-position model. The record is from RNAcentral.